UACGAAGGGGGCUAGCGUUGCUCGGAAUCACUGGGCGUAAAGCGCACGUAGGCGGACUCUUAAGUCGGUGGUGAAAUCCUGGAGCUCAACUCCAGAACUGCCUUUGAUACUGAAGAUCUUGAGUUCGGGAGAGGUGAGUGGAACUGCGAGUGUAGAGGUGAAAUUCGUAGAUAUUCGCAAGAACACCAGUGGCGAAGGCGGCUCACUGGCCCGGUACUGACGCUGAGGUGCGAAAGCGUGGGGAGCAACAGG
RNAcentral lists this ribosomal RNA (252 nucleotides) under uncultured bacterium. RNAcentral's name for it is "partial 16S ribosomal RNA". It matches the Rfam family "Bacterial small subunit ribosomal RNA", at positions 524 to 775 of the family's 1533-position model. The record is from RNAcentral.